AUUAGAGUUUGAUCCUGGCUUAGGAUGAACGCUGGCGGCGUGCUUAACACAUGCAAGUCGAACGGUGAAGUCAGCUUGCUGGGUGGAUCAGUGGCGAACGGGUGAGUAACACGUGAGCAAUCUGCCCCUGACUCUGGGAUAAGCGCUGGAAACGGCGUCUAAUACUGGAUACGAACCGUGGAGGCAUCUUCAACGGUUGGAAAGAUUUUUUGGUCAGGGAUGAGCUCGCGGCCUAUCAGCUUGUUGGUGAGGUAAUGGCUCACCAAGGCGUCGACGGGUAGCCGGCCUGAGAGGGUGACCGGCCACACUGGGACUGAGACACGGCCCAGACUCCUACGGGAGGCAGCAGUGGGGAAUAUUGCACAAUGGGCGAAAGCCUGAUGCAGCAACGCCGCGUGAGGGAUGACGGCCUUCGGGUUGUAAACCUCUUUUAGCAGGGAAGAAGCGAAAGUGACGGUACCUGCAGAAAAAGCGCCGGCUAACUACGUGCCAGCAGCCGCGGUAAUACGUAGGGCGCAAGCGUUAUCCGGAAUUAUUGGGCGUAAAGAGCUCGUAGGCGGUUUGUCGCGUCUGCUGUGAAAUCCCGAGGCUCAACUUCGGGUCUGCAGUGGGUACGGGCAGACUAGAGUGCGGUAGGGGAGAUUGGAAUUCCUGGUGUAGCGGUGGAAUGCGCAGAUAUCAGGAGGAACACCGAUGGCGAAGGCAGAUCUCUGGGCCGUAACUGACGCUGAGGAGCGAAAGGGUGGGGAGCAAACAGGCUUAGAUACCCUGGUAGUCCACCCCGUAAACGUUGGGAACUAGUUGUGGGGUCCAUUCCACGGAUUCCGUGACGCAGCUAACGCAUUAAGUUCCCCGCCUGGGGAGUACGGCCGCAAGGCUAAAACUCAAAGGAAUUGACGGGGACCCGCACAAGCGGCGGAGCAUGCGGAUUAAUUCGAUGCAACGCGAAGAACCUUACCAAGGCUUGACAUAUACGAGAACGCUGCAGAAAUGUAG
Molecule: ribosomal RNA, 996 nt
Filed under: Microbacterium laevaniformans
Lineage: Bacteria; Bacillati; Actinomycetota; Actinomycetes; Micrococcales; Microbacteriaceae
Description: bacterial SSU rRNA
Rfam family: Bacterial small subunit ribosomal RNA
Source: RNAcentral